GGGCUUGGGAUCACACGUGAUUACGUGAAGCAUUCUGUGAUGUGCGCAGACAUGUUGAUGGCCUUACGAGUAUAAACAAACCAUGAAAACAAACAGUAUGUUGCAGAGAAGAAGCAGGUUUGGGUGAAGGGAAGUGUUAAACAACAUGUUAAAAUCCCAAGAAGAAUGCUGAAUAUGCAAGGACACGUUAAAUAAAGACGCCGGGGACCGAUUUUUGGAUCCAUAUGAAAGACCCGAGAACGGAGCCCCGACGAUAACUUGUUGCCGCCGCAGCUCUGCAUAAUGGACAUUUUUGGCUGUCUUGUUUGAGCGGAUGUAAAUGUCUCGAUGAGAGACUCUGGUUGCGGGGGCAGCAGUCUAAGUGGAGAGGCUCAGACUUCCCUUUCCCCAGCCACUUGAGCCAGCACUUCCGGGGGAAUCCCAAGGCGUUCCCUGGCCAGGUGAGAGAUGUAGUCCCUCCACUGUGUCCUGGGUCUACCUUUAGACCGGGAUCACAUUGUGCGACUUUUGGCCGUCUUUGCCAAAUCCCUCUUCCUGAGCAGAACCGUGCCAAAAAAAUGGUCAACGUGAGGGUGAUUUGCAUAUGUGUGCACCAUGCUGUGAACGUACAAUGUGACCAGCUCUGCGGCAGUUUUUGGAGCCGUCUCACGACCAAAUCAGCCUCAAAAAGUCUUCAAGCACUGCUUACAAACCUACAAUUCCUGUCUGCAAUCGACCAAUGAAAACGCACCUUUGGGACGCCGCAGCAGCAAAACUCCGCCUCUCUGAGCUUUGGUUUCAAUUUAUGCUUAAAAUGCGGAUUUUAAACUACACACCGCCUCCAGGUUGGACAUGCCCGGAAAACCUCACCAGGGAGAUGUCCAGAAGGCAUCCUAAUUACAUGCCUGAGCCACCUCAACGUGCUCCUCUCGAUGUGGAGGAACAGCGGGCCUACUCCGAGCCCCUCCCGGAUGACUGGACUUCUCCCCCUAUCUCUAAGGGAGAGCCCAGACACCCUGCGGCUAAAACUCAUUCUGGCCGUUUGUAUCCACGAUCUUGUUCUUUCUGUCACUACCCAAAGUUUGUGACCAUAGGUGAGGGUAGGAAUGGAGAUUGACUGGUAAAUGGAGAGCUUCGCCUUCUGGCUCAGCUCUCUCUUCACCACGACAGACUGGUACAAUAUCUGCAUCACUGCAGUCACAGCACCAAUCCGCCUAUCAAUCUCGCACUCCAGCUUUCCCUCACUUGUGAACAAGACCCAGAGAUAUUUAAACUCCUCCACUUGGGGCAGGACCCCAUCCCUGACCCGGAGAAAGCAUUCUACCCUUUUCCGAAUCAAGACCAUGGUCUCAGAUUUAGAGGAGCUGAUUCUCAUCACAGCUGCCUCACACUUGGCUGAGAACCAAUUGUAUUUACACAAACAACAUGCUAAACAUGCAUACGUAGCAUUAAAGACUACAAAUUAAUAGUGACCAAUAAGAUGUGAUGAUUCCAUAUAAAUAUGAAAUAUCAACCUGAUUGAUCUUUGAAUGUUGAAUCAGAAGAUUCUAGUUACUUUUACUUGUUCAGGGACCAUAAACACACUCUGUAUUAAUUCAGACAGUGAAAUGAAUUUUAUUCUUUUUCCAAAACUAAUAAUUUAUACAUGACAAGAUGUGAAUAAUGAGGUGGGAUGUAGUGGAUGUGAGGUGUUUUGAUGUGAUGUGUUAGGUGGUGUGAUGGAAGCUAGAUGUUUUGCAGAACCUUCUUUGUAUCUGAGAGGACUUGUGAAAUCUGGGUGUAAAAAAUUUGUUGUUAGGUUAUAAACUAGAGAGUUGGUUAUUGAUAAAAGCCACCAGACGCGAUUUGUUGUGUCUAUUACCCUUGUGGAGACCCCCCAGUGGAGAUCCAGACUGUCAGAAGUUGGGGGGAACCUCGACCUCAAGGUAUCCGAAGCCCAUAGAUUAGCUCCGAUACGACCCGUCCAAUCUUGAGUGGUCUCCAAGUCACAACAAGAAGCUAGAAGGCUCGUUUGCAUCCAAGGAUGAUGUUUGGCUCUUAAAAAAGCCGUCUGGCUGUGUCAGCUUGCAGCGUGCAAAGAGGCAUUUGACUGUAUGUCAAAAGAGACGUCUCGAAGAUGCUUGUUCCCGAAUUGGCCGGUUCGAGUCAGCUAGAAACUGAGUUAAUCGGGAAGUAAUUCUUGUUUUGAUAAACCACAAUGUUAUGAGUUUUGGCCAAAUUUGGCAAAUCAGAAUUUGACAUGUUUUUGAGUAUUUACCAGCAUCCCUCAGAAAGCCACACCUUCUUCAGAUACAAAGAGUUUUAACACUUUGUGAAUGAUAAUCCUUAAACUCUUAUGUAAGGUGAAUAUUAACCUUUAUGAGUAUCUUAUUGUAAUGUGUAUGAGUGUAAACAUUGAUUAAAAUGUUAAAUCAACGCAUACUGAUUUGUGAAAUAAAUGAAUCAUUGUAGGAACAA
Molecule: long non-coding RNA, 2436 nt
Organism: Nothobranchius furzeri (turquoise killifish)
Lineage: Eukaryota; Metazoa; Chordata; Actinopteri; Cyprinodontiformes; Nothobranchiidae
Source: RefSeq, a predicted model, not a curated record